GUCUGUAUGAUUGUUAUAUAGAGUCUAGCCUGCCCACUGAUAUAAAUUAAAGGGCCGCGGUAUUUUGACCGUGCGAAGGUAGCAUAAUCAUUAGUCUUUUAAUUGGAGGCUUGUAUGAAUGGUUGGACAAAAAGUAAGCUGUCUCUGCUAUAGUAUUUGAAUUUAACUUUUAAGUGAAAAGGCUUAAAUAGUCUGGGGGGACGAUAAGACCCUAUAAAGCUUUACAACAAAAUAGAAUGUAUUAUCACUUGUUAAGUGUAACUUAAUUCAUUUAACGGUUGUUUCGUUGGGGCGACGAGAAUAUAAUUAAAAUAACUGUUCUUUAAUAAAAAUUACAGUAUUCGUUGUAUAAAAAUUGAUCCUUUAUUAAAGAUUAAAAGAUUAAGUUACUUUAGGGAUAACAGCGUAAUCUUCUUUGAGAGUCCAGAUCGACAAGAAGGGUUGCGACCUCGAUGUUGAAUUAAGGGUUCCUUGCGGUGCAGCAGUUGUAAAGGAAGGUCUGUUCGACCUUUAAAUCCUU
RNAcentral lists this ribosomal RNA (520 nucleotides) under Boreogennema borealis. RNAcentral's name for it is "partial large subunit ribosomal RNA". It matches the Rfam family "Bacterial large subunit ribosomal RNA", at positions 1829 to 2597 of the family's 2925-position model. The record is from RNAcentral. Lineage: Eukaryota; Metazoa; Arthropoda; Malacostraca; Decapoda; Benthesicymidae.